RNAcentral lists this ribosomal RNA (502 nucleotides) under uncultured bacterium. RNAcentral's name for it is "SSU rRNA". It matches the Rfam family "Bacterial small subunit ribosomal RNA", at positions 26 to 518 of the family's 1533-position model. The record is from RNAcentral.
AGGACGAACGCUGGCGGCGCGCUUAACACAUGCAAGUCGAGCGAGAACCGGUCCUUCGGGACCGGGGAAAGCGGCGAACGGGUGAGUAACACGUGGGUAAUCAACCCUUGACUCUGGGAUAGCCCGGGGAAACUCGGAUUAAUACCGGAUGGCCCAACAGCUCUUCGGGGCGGUUGGAAAAGGUAGCUUCGGCCUCCGGUCAGGGACGAGCCCGCGGCGGAUUAGCUUGUUGGUGAGGUAACGGCUCACCAAGGCGACGAUCCGUAGCUGGUCUGAGAGGACGAUCAGCCACACUGGGACUGAGACACGGCCCAGACUCCUACGGGAGGCAGCAGUGGGGAAUCUUGCACAAUGGGCGAAAGCCUGAUGCAGCGACGCCGCGUGAGGGAAGAAGGCUUCGGGUUGUAAACCUCUUUCAGAAGGGACGAAGCUCCUCGGGUUAAUAGCCCAGAGGGUGACGGUACUUCAGAAGAAGCCCGGCUAACUACGCGCCAGCAGCCGC